RNAcentral lists this unclassified non-coding RNA (4575 nucleotides) under Megachile rotundata (alfalfa leafcutting bee). RNAcentral's name for it is "jmjC domain-containing histone demethylation protein 1-like, transcript variant X4". Lineage: Eukaryota; Metazoa; Arthropoda; Insecta; Hymenoptera; Megachilidae. The record is from RNAcentral.
GCAAAAUGGCGACCUCCUUUUGCUGGGAAAGUAAAAUCACAGAAAAGUUCGAUGUUAAUAUAAGGCUAUCGUGCGUGACAUGUAAAUAAUAAAUAAAAUUUCAAUAAUAUAGCAUUAAAAGAAUUAUUUUAACGUUCACUACAAAACAUACAUUGAAUAUUCGAUGAGUUUUCGGUGAUACGUUUCUGACAGCGUGUCCACAAUGGCCGAUGACUCUACUUCUCUGCCAAAAAGGCGUCAAUUGCGGGAAAGAACUAGAAAGUUGUAUACAGAUGACUGGGCCAUAGGUGAUGAGGAAAUCGAGGGUCGUAGGACUUUUCAACUGGAUGAAAAAAUUGAAUGCGAAAGAUACAACCUAAAUAAUUUCAGUGGAUUAUUCCGUGAAAUGAAUGGUUCUGAAUUGACUCUAGCGUUCUUGCAGAAACAUGGACUCAGUAUACCAUUGCUCUUCAAAGACAAAUCUGGAUUGGGAUUGCGAGUUCCCAGUUCAAAUUUUACAGUUAAUGAUGUGAGAACGUGUGUUGGUUCAAAAAGAGUAUUAGAUGUAAUGGAUGUUAAUACACAAAAGAAUGAAGAUAUGACAAUGAAAGAAUGGCAAAAGUAUUAUGAAGAUCCUAACAAAGAACGGUUGUUAAAUGUAAUUUCUUUAGAGUUCAGUCAUACCAAGUUAGAAAACUAUGUACAGUCACCUUCAUUGGUAAGACAAGUUGAUUGGGUAGAUGUUGUAUGGCCAAGACAUCUUAAAGAAGCACAAGUGGAAUCUACCAAUCUUUUGGAAGACAUGAUGUAUCCAAAAGUGCAAAAGUAUUGCCUGAUGUCUGUGAAAGGUUGUUAUACAGAUUUCCAUGUUGACUUUGGUGGAACUAGUGUGUGGUACCAUAUCCUAAGAGGUGGAAAAAUAUUUUGGCUUAUCCCUCCUACUGAAAAAAAUUUGUCCCUUUAUCAAGAAUGGGUUCUAAGUGGCAAACAAUCUGACGUUUUCUUUGGAGACAUGGUAGACAGAUGUGGUAGAAUAAGUUUAACAGCUGGCAUGACUCUAUUUAUCCCAACUGGUUGGAUUCAUGCAGUGUAUACUCCUCAAGAUUCUUUAGUGUUUGGUGGAAAUUUUUUACAUAGCUUUGGUAUUGAAAAACAAUUGAAAGUUGCACAAGUAGAGGAACACACAAAGGUUCCACAAAAAUUCAGAUAUCCAUUUUUCACUGAAAUGUUAUGGUACGUCUUGGAGAGGUACGUCCACGUUCUGCUCGGCAGGAGUCAUUUAGAUAUUUCCGAAUCUCACCGUCAACAUUCAGUUCCACAACACCAUCAGCACUUACACCUGACACCGUUCGAAUUACAUGGUUUAAAAGCAAUAGUUAUGUAUUUACAUUCAUUACCUUCUACUAAAAAGAAUGUGCCUGAGCUGAUUCGCGAUCCCGUUGCCUUAAUUCACGAUGUUCGAUGUCUGGUAGAACAACAUCGACACGAUAAUCCGGACGCGGCUGUAACAGGAAAUCCUGUAUUACCACCUCCACCUCCAUUAACUAUUGCUGAAAGGGAACGUCUAAGGGUAACUAAAAAAAGUUUUGCAAAGAUACAGAGGCAUCACUCACAAGAGAAGUCUGAAAGAGCUUUCCCGCGGCGAAGGCGUACCAGGUGUAAAAAGUGUGAAGCAUGUACAAGGACUGACUGCGGGGAAUGCAUGUACUGUCAGGAUAUGGUGAAAUUCGGUGGGAGCGGUCGUGCCAAACAGACGUGCUUGAUGAGACAAUGUUUGAGGCCUAUGCUUCCGGUCACAGCAGCUUGUAAAGUUUGCCGAUUAGACGGCUGGGGACAACCACCUGCUCCGUUAAUGGGGAAACCAACGCCGACAGCUCCGUCGAGUUUGUUAGAAUGUUCGAUAUGUUUUGACAUUGUACAUCCCGCGUGCAUAGGAUUGGAUCCCCAAACAAUAACCGUUAGCGACGAUUUACCGAAUAGUUGGGAAUGUCCCGAAUGUUGUGAAAGCGGUCGAAAUUUAGAUUGUAGGCCACGUCAACCUAAGGCUCGUGCUCGAAAACUUUCUGUAUCUAGUGCAGCUUCAUCCGCACCCACUACAGAUUCUGAAAGGGCUACCACACCAAGUAAACGUUCAAGAUCCGAUCCCAGCGAUGCAUGGAAUGACAGAGAACCGGCUGAGGGUGAACAGCGAACAGCUUUGCGUACACAAUUAGCUGUACAAUUAACUGGUUCAAGUAGUAAGUCAUUGAAGAGGCCCCACGUGGUGGUUAGGCCUGUUCCACUUCCGCCUGUUCAAAGACCAGGGCCUGAUUUUAAUGGACAAUCUUUAGCAUAUGACAAAACAGCAUUACUUGCUAUUUUUAGAUUUUUAAAUGCAAAGGACCUGGCGAAUUGUGCCUUGGUUUGCCGUACAUGGGCCAGAUAUAGUAUAGAUCCUAGCUUGUGGAGAAAAUUGGACAUGUCUCAUUCUCAUCUGACAGCUUUGCAUUUAACUGGUAUUAUACGCCGCCAACCGGAAAAUCUGUCUCUUGACUGGACAAAUGUAACUAAAAGACAAUUAGCCUGGCUGUUAAGUAGAUUGCCGCAGCUUAGAACAUUAUCUGUACAAGGUUGUUCGUGGGCUGGAGUCUGUGCUUUGAGAACUUGCACUUGUCCGCCGCUUACCACUUUAGACCUCAGUCACGUAUCAGGACUGAACGAUUCGAGUUUAAGGGAGGUCCUUAGUCCACCUACGGAUUCGAGACCCGGUCUAAUUGAUAAAACUUCAAGAUUGAAGCAUCUUAAAAAUUUAUCUUUGGCUGGAUGUGAUAUAACUGACGUAGCUUUAAGAUAUAUAGUUCAACAUUUACCUUAUCUGGAGACGUUGGAUCUCUCUUCUUGCGGUAGAGUUACUGACGCCGGUGUAGCGCAAUUGGCGACUCCACCGGCGCAAGCAGUAACCAACCUAGCAUCACUGAAUCUGGCAAACUGUAGAUUACUUACAGAAACGACGUUAGAUCAUUUGGCAAGAUGCAAAGUGCUUAAACGUUUGGAUCUCAGACACACGACUCAAGUUUCGACUCAGUCUGUAAUUAAGUUUGCUGCGAAAAGUAUUCAUAAUUUACAUGUGACGGACGUUAAACUAGUAGAAGAAAAAAAAUUUAAAGUCGAGGUUAAAGUUACGUGAAAAAAAAUGUAUCUGGUUAUGAGGAUUUUCGGCAAGUGCAAUUUGGUUACUUUGUAAAACCAAGAACAAUUAUGCCGAAUAUCAGUCAACAAUUAUUUAUUGUCAUGAAAAUCCAUCAGCACUGUAUCGCAUCUUCAUAAUAUAAAAAAGUGGACCUGACUAGUAUAGGAUUUCUAUUCGAUAACCUUCAGUUUUAUCGAUGUCACUACGCGAUAUGAGCAACAAAAUACUUCAAUUCGAAUUAACCAAGGAUUACUUUAUUUUUUGCUUAUUUUAACGUAGAUUGCUGUCUUCCUUUAUGUCUGGAAAACACCGUACACGUUUCAAAAAUAUUUUAAGAUAUUAAAUCUUAACGAGUACAGGAUAUUAAAUAAGUAAUGCGAAUUCCAGGAAUGUUAUAUCACGAAUCACAACUUUAAAGCUGCGCUAGUUGCGAUUUUUCGCAUUCCUAAUUAUAAAAUUACGAGCAAAUUUUCAGAGUUAUGUUCAGUUUCGCAUCGUAUAACGAAACAAACCAUUACUCGUUUAAUAUUCAGUAUUGUAUUAGAAAAGUGAUGGACAGAUAAAGUGCUCGCCAGACAGCUCACCGGUGUGCACUGUGCACGCAGUGAUAAAGCGAAAUUUGGGAAUUUGCGAAUUUGAGGAUUUGAAAAUUUGAGAAUUUGAAAGUUUAGAAAUGUAGGAACUUACGAAUUUAAAAAUUUAAUGAUAUACAAGUUUCAAAUUUUCAAAUAACUGACUACCCACUCAAUGCACGUUACUUGCAUACCUGUGCUGUGUCCUCGCGAGCGCAAUCGGCCGUCACCAUGUUAACGGAUAUCAAAUGCAUCAAUAUAGAAGUUUUUACUGUCGUAUCGAAAGACGAGCGUACAGUAUUUGUUUUGCAAUUCUAUACGGAUGUAGGAAUACGAAUGCGGGUAAAAAGAGAUAAAUGUUGACGUCUGUAGUCUUACGAGGAACUCAGCGAAGUAGCAUAUCGACGCUACCGAUCGCCUAUAUAUAUUAAUAAAAAAAGAAGAAAGAGGUAUAUUUAUUUGUAUGUGUGAUUGGAUAAGUUUCCAACUGACUUCGUUAAGUCGCAAAAAUGAAGGAACCUGUUGACCACGUAAACUCAUUACUCUAAUUAUAAAGACGGAAGCGCGCAAUGAAACAUAUUCGACUAUACCAUUUCAUAAUAUUAGAUAGAUGGACACGAGUUAUCACACUGAAAGUUCAACGUAUUGUUUCAAUUUAGCUCGCAGUGCAAUGGUUUUCAUUAUACUCGAUAUCGAUAUUGUUCGUCAUGCAUUCAUUUUUAUAAUUCAAGCAUGUAUUAGAAGCACUAAGCUGCGGAUGUUCUAAUUCUAAACUAUGACACUACUGUAUAAAGUAUGUAACCCACAGAGAACAAUAGUGAUAUUCUGAUUUUCAAAUAUAAUUUUAAAUUUUAA